AGAGCGAACGCUGGCGGCAGGCUUAACACAUGCAAGUCGAACGGACUCUUCGGAGUUAGUGGCGGACGGGUGAGUAACACGUGGGAACGUGCCUUUAGGUUCGGAACAACACAGGGAAACUUGUGCUAAUACCGGAUAAGCCUUUCGAGGGAAAGAUUUAUCGCCUUUAGAGCGGCCCGCGUCUGAUUAGCUAGUUGGUGAGGUAAAGGCUCACCAAGGCUACGAUCAGUAGCUGGUCUGAGAGGAUGGCCAGCCACAUUGGGACUGAGACACGGCCCAAACUCCUACGGGAGGCAGCAGUGGGGAAUCUUGCGCAAUGGGCGAAAGCCUGACGCAGCCAUGCCGCGUGGAUGAUGAAGGUCUUAGGAUUGUAAAAUCCUUUCAGCGGGGACGAUAAUGACGGUACCGCAGAAGAAGCCCCGGCUAACUUCGCGCCAGCAGCCGC
Molecule: ribosomal RNA, 445 nt
Filed under: uncultured bacterium
Lineage: Bacteria
Description: SSU rRNA
Rfam family: Bacterial small subunit ribosomal RNA
Source: RNAcentral